RNAcentral lists this transfer RNA (72 nucleotides) under Ovis aries (sheep). It matches the Rfam family "tRNA". From Rfam's summary of the family: Transfer RNA (tRNA) molecules are approximately 80 nucleotides in length. Their secondary structure includes four short double-helical elements and three loops (D, anti-codon, and T loops). Further hydrogen bonds mediate the characteristic L-shaped molecular structure. tRNAs have two regions of fundamental functional importance: the anti-codon, which is responsible for specific mRNA codon recognition, and the 3' end, to which the tRNAs corresponding amino acid is attached (by aminoacyl-tRNA synthetases). tRNAs cope with the degeneracy of the genetic code in two manners: having more than one tRNA (with a specific anti-codon) for a particular amino acid; and 'wobble' base-pairing, i.e. permitting non-standard base-pairing at the 3rd anti-codon position. The record is from Rfam by way of RNAcentral. Lineage: Eukaryota; Metazoa; Chordata; Mammalia; Artiodactyla; Bovidae.
UCCCUGGUGGCUCAGACUAUAAAGCAUCUGCCUACAAUGCAGGAGGCCCAGGUUCAAUCCCUGGGUCGAGAA